RNAcentral lists this ribosomal RNA (102 nucleotides) under uncultured bacterium. RNAcentral describes it as "partial 16S ribosomal RNA". It matches the Rfam family "Bacterial small subunit ribosomal RNA", at positions 1384 to 1482 of the family's 1533-position model. The record is from RNAcentral.
UACACACCGCCCGUCACACCAUGGGAGUCGUUUGCUCCAGAAGUGCCUUCGUCAACCUCGCAAGAGGGGAUAGGGCCCAAGGAGUGAACGGUAACUGGGGUG